GAUGAACGCUGGCGGCGUGCCUAAUACAUGCAAGUCGAGCGAACAGAUGAGGAGCUUGCUCCUCUGACGUUAGCGGCGGACGGGUGAGUAACACGUGGAUAACCUACCUAUAAGACUGGGAUAACUUCGGGAAACCGGAGCUAAUACCGGAUAAUAUAUUGAACCGCAUGGUUCAAUAGUGAAAGACGGUUUUGCUGUCACUUAUAGAUGGAUCCGCGCCGCAUUAGCUAGUUGGUAAGGUAACGGCUUACCAAGGCAACGAUGCGUAGCCGACCUGAGAGGGUGAUCGGCCACACUGGAACUGAGACACGGUCCAGACUCCUACGGGAGGGAGCAGUAGGGAAUCUUCCGCAAUGGGCGAAAGCCUGACGGAGCAACGCCGCGUGAGUGAUGAAGGUCUUCGGAUCGUAAAACUCUGUUAUUAGGGAAGAACAAAUGUGUAAGUAACUAUGCACGUCUUGACGGUACCUAAUCAGAAAGCCACGGCUAACUACGUG
This 497-nucleotide ribosomal RNA is filed under the name uncultured bacterium. Its description in RNAcentral is "partial 16S ribosomal RNA". It matches the Rfam family "Bacterial small subunit ribosomal RNA", at positions 28 to 507 of the family's 1533-position model. The record is from RNAcentral.